Molecule: non-coding RNA, 702 nt
Organism: Styela clava
Lineage: Eukaryota; Metazoa; Chordata; Ascidiacea; Stolidobranchia; Styelidae
Source: RefSeq, a predicted model, not a curated record
UUUCAGGUUUUGACAAGUCAUUUUCUUCAAGCUCUGUUAUAGUUUUGAAUGAUACAAAUUUAUCUCUCACAUAUUCACGUUGCCAGGAUUCUUCGAGUACUUUUGCUGAGAUUUGAUUGAACGCUACGUUCCAAAAAUUCAAUAUUUCUUCCUGUUUUGUAUAUCCCAAAAUCAUCAGCAAACUGUCCACAAUCUGUAUCUCGUAAAGUUGAUGGAAGAUCAUCUACAAAAAUGAGAUAGAAACACGGAGACAGAAUUGAACCUUGACUAAGUCCUCGUAUCGGAUGCCUUGCUGCAAAUUUUAUUCCACCAUGGUAUUGCAUUUUUCGAUAAAGCAAUCACAUUUUGUGGAGUACAUGAUGUGACGCUGAGAAUUAUGCCCUGACACAGGAUAUCUGUAAUGAAUUCGAUCAAGCUCACUAUGUCCAUGGUUGAUGUUUGUGGAAUUGGAUUCUGUUGAGUAGGUGAGUAUGGAAUCGAUUUUUUUGUUUUUGCCUGUUUUGAUUGUGUUGACUCUGAUUCUGUUCUCUUUUGUUGUUUUUGAUCAUAUUUUUGAUUUUGAGGUUGCUAAUUUUCUUCGCCUGAAUUGUACGUGCUGCUUCAGCAUAGGUCAUGUUUCCUUGCUUUUGUAGAAUUUGAAUGUUUUUUUGCUUCUUAUACUCUGGGCAUUUGGGGCUAGCACCGCUAUGAUUUCCCAGGCAU